This 70-nucleotide transfer RNA is filed under the name Xenorhina sp. TNHC-GDC 31177. RNAcentral describes it as "tRNA-Arg". It matches the Rfam family "tRNA". Rfam says of the family: Transfer RNA (tRNA) molecules are approximately 80 nucleotides in length. Lineage: Eukaryota; Metazoa; Chordata; Amphibia; Anura; Microhylidae. The record is from RNAcentral.
AAUUAAAGCUAGUUUAAUAAAAACAAUUGACUUCGACUCAAUCAACUAUGGUUAAAAUCCAUAGCUUUUU